This 213-nucleotide ribosomal RNA is filed under the name uncultured organism. Its description in RNAcentral is "partial 16S ribosomal RNA". It matches the Rfam family "Bacterial small subunit ribosomal RNA", at positions 335 to 541 of the family's 1533-position model. The record is from RNAcentral.
ACUCCUACGGGAGGCAGCAGUGGGGAAUUUUGGACAAUGGGGGAAACCCUGAUCCAGCAAUGCCGCGUGAGUGAAGAAGGCCUUCGGGUUGUAAAGUUCUUUUGUCAGGAAAGAAACACCGGUUCUAACACAGUCCGGGAAUGACGGUACCUGAAGAAUAAGCACCGGCUAACUACCUGCCAGCAGCCGCGGUAAUACGGAGGGUGCAAGCGU